This 300-nucleotide ribosomal RNA is filed under the name uncultured Rikenellaceae bacterium. RNAcentral describes it as "bacterial SSU rRNA". It matches the Rfam family "Bacterial small subunit ribosomal RNA", at positions 1080 to 1382 of the family's 1533-position model. The record is from RNAcentral. Lineage: Bacteria; Pseudomonadati; Bacteroidota; Bacteroidia; Bacteroidales; Rikenellaceae.
UUAAGUCCCAUAACGAGCGCAACCCCUACUGCUAGUUGCCAGCGGGUCAUGCCGGGGACUCUAGCGGAACUGCCAGCGUAAGCUGCGAGGAAGGUGGGGAUGACGUCAAAUCAGCACGGCCCUUACGUCCAGGGCUACACACGUGUUACAAUGGCCAGUACAGAGGCAGCCACCCGCGAGGGGCGCUAAUCCUAAAAGCUGGUCCCAGUUCGGAUCGGAGUCUGCAACCCGACUCCGUGAAGCUGGAUUCGCUAGUAAUCGCGCAUCAGCCACGGCGCGGUGAAUACGUUCCCGGGCCUU